RNAcentral lists this ribosomal RNA (253 nucleotides) under uncultured bacterium. RNAcentral's name for it is "partial 16S ribosomal RNA". It matches the Rfam family "Bacterial small subunit ribosomal RNA", at positions 524 to 776 of the family's 1533-position model. The record is from RNAcentral.
UACAGAGGGUGCGAGCGUUAAUCGGAAUUACUGGGCGUAAAGCGCACGUAGGCGGCUUGGUAUGUCGGGUGUGAAAUCCCCGGGCUCAACCUGGGAACUGCAUCCGAAACUGCCUUGCUAGAGUAUGGGAGAGGGAAGUGGAAUUUCCGGUGUAGCGGUGAAAUGCGUAGAGAUCGGGAAGAACAUCGGUGGCGAAGGCGGCCAGCUGGGCCAUUGCUGACGCUGAGGCGCGACAGCGUGGGGAGCAAACAGG